AAGUCGUAACAAGGUAUCCGUAGGUGAACCUGCGGAUGGAUCAUUACCAAUUUUAUAUACUAGUGUGUAUGCCGCUGUCAAAGGUGGUACUACACUACUACUAUUAUGUAAACGUUGAACUAGAUCAAUUGGUGUGGAUUGCUUGGGAAUGGACGAAGCGACAAGCCUCUUCCGGACAGGCAAACCCCACACUGAUAACCCUUUUCAAUAUAAUUUACUAGUACAUACUACAAACAAACAAACAAAAGCUAUAAUAGGACUUAUAAACAGGCUGAGUGGGUAAAAUCCUCGGCUUAACAAUAUAACUAUUACAACUUUCAGCAAUGGAUCUCUAGGCUCUC
This 341-nucleotide unclassified non-coding RNA is filed under the name Ramicandelaber taiwanensis. RNAcentral's name for it is "partial internal transcribed spacer region". The stretch from base 1 to 46 matches the Rfam family "Eukaryotic small subunit ribosomal RNA", at positions 1786 to 1831 of the family's 1831-position model. Lineage: Eukaryota; Fungi; Kickxellomycota; Ramicandelaberales; Ramicandelaberaceae. The record is from RNAcentral.